RNAcentral lists this ribosomal RNA (490 nucleotides) under uncultured bacterium. RNAcentral's name for it is "partial 16S ribosomal RNA". It matches the Rfam family "Bacterial small subunit ribosomal RNA", at positions 899 to 1397 of the family's 1533-position model. The record is from RNAcentral.
ACUCAAAGGAAUUGACGGGGACCCGCACAACCUGUGGAGCGUGUGGUUUAAUUCGAUACAAAGCGAAAAACCUUACCAGGGCUUGACAUCUUACCGUUUUAUACUUUUGGAAACAUUAGUAGAUCCGCAAGGAUGGUAGGACAGGCGCUGCAUGGUUGUCAUCAGUUCGUGCCGUGAGGUGUUCCCUUAAGUGGGGAAACGAACGCAACCCCCGUGAAAUGUUAAAUAUUCAUUUCAGACUGCCUUGUUUUUACAAGGAGGAAGGAGGGGAAGAUGUCAAAUCAGCAUGGCCCUUAUGCCCUGGGUUACACACACACUACAAUGGCGAAAAACAACGAGUUGCAAGCUAGCAAUAGCAAGCUAAUCUCUCAAAUUUCGUCUCAGUUCAGAUUGGGGUCUGCAACCCGACCCCAUGAAGUCGGAAUAGGUAGUAAUCGCGGAUCAGCAUGCCGCGGUGAAUACGUUCUCGGGUCUUGUACACACCGCCCGU